GAUGAACGCUGGCGGCGUGCCUCAUACAUGCAAGUCGAGCGAAGCGGGGAAGGGUGAGUAACACGUGGAUAAACUCCUAUAAGACUGGGAUAACUUCGGGAAACCGGGGCUAAACCGGAUACUUAAAGAUGGAUCCGCGCUGCAUUAGCUAGUUGGUAAGGUAACGGGUGACCAAGGCAACGAUGCAUAGCCUACCUGAGAGGGGGAUCGGCCACACUGGAACUGAGACACGGUCCAGACUCCUACGGGAGGCAGCAGUAGGGAAUCUUCCGCAAUGGACGAAAGUCUGACGGAGCAACGCCGCGUUAGUGAUGACGGCCUUCGGGUUGUAAAGCUCUGUUAAUCGGGACGCGGUACCGGAAUAGAAAGCCACGGCUAACUACGUGCCAGCAGCCGCGGUAAUAC
Molecule: ribosomal RNA, 405 nt
Filed under: uncultured bacterium
Lineage: Bacteria
Description: partial 16S ribosomal RNA
Rfam family: Bacterial small subunit ribosomal RNA
Source: RNAcentral